AGCUACCGCACGUCGUAGAGCCAUUAUUUCCAUCUACAAAUCUGCCAUCACUUUGCCUUGAUCUUGUACCAGUGACAUCAAAGCAUCGUGUGAACUCAGAAGUUUUGCAGCACUUUCAUCAUGCUGGUUACGUAAUUGUACCAGUUUAUCCCUCAAGGUGUAGAUUUGUAUAAUCAAAUCAACAACGCCUUCAGUUUGUUUGAGUUUAUCCGUAAUACCAAUGAAAU
Molecule: long non-coding RNA, 227 nt
Filed under: Capsicum annuum
Lineage: Eukaryota; Viridiplantae; Streptophyta; Magnoliopsida; Solanales; Solanaceae
Description: long non-coding RNA (CANN_LNC004539)
Source: RNAcentral